Molecule: long non-coding RNA, 737 nt
Organism: Rhododendron vialii
Lineage: Eukaryota; Viridiplantae; Streptophyta; Magnoliopsida; Ericales; Ericaceae
Exons: 3
Source: RefSeq, a predicted model, not a curated record
GUCAUAGCUUGUGGCAUCAAAAAUUCUUAUUCUGUUUGCUAUUGUUUUACUGCAGGGAUUUUGCAUGAUCUUGUCACAGAGUAAUGACUAUGCAACCAUUCCUUUUCUUGCUGAUGUGUUCGAGAGAUAUCAAGACAUGAACUCCGCCAAGAAUGACAACAUGCUGGAAGAGUGUUUGUACCCAUUCCGUCGAACGUAUACCUCAUCCACAAUAAUGUUCAAUUUGCUACACUGAGGGCUAUAAGAUUAUUGGUUCGCAUAGUGGAGUUAAAUUGUGUAGAUGGACCAAAGGCACAGCUUGGAGGGCAUGGUGGCUGCUACAAGCGGACUCAUUUUAUGGCAUAGAGAGUCAUAGGUGACAGUCAAUUGCUUCGUUACGGAAUAUAAUCAAUCAGCAUGCUUUUUGUGACGCCCAUAGUAGGAUGCAUGAUGCUUUUGUGGGUUGUUUGGGUUCCAAGUCAAAGCUUGGCAAUUAGAGAUCUGUAAUUACGUGAUCAUAUUCGGAUUUUUAGUUGCUAUCUCUCUAUCAAGUCUUACCUUAUCCAUUUGUCAUAAUUUUGUGGGAUCAUAUUCAUGACUGCCUUAUGAGAAUGAACAAGUCAUGUAUUGGAAGGGAUAAGGGCCUUUGACUUCCUUUUAAUCUUUGAUUUAGGAGAGUAACGUAGAGCUGGCCUAUUAUAAUCAUCUUCUUUUUUUGUUCUGAAUGAGAGAGGACUAUUGUUGCCCUACUGGUAAUA